Meriones unguiculatus (Mongolian gerbil) is the source of this 347-nucleotide long non-coding RNA. RefSeq lists it as uncharacterized. Lineage: Eukaryota; Metazoa; Chordata; Mammalia; Rodentia; Muridae. The transcript has 2 exons. The record is from RefSeq and is a predicted model, not a curated record.
AGUGCCCUCUGCUCCAGAGUGUCUGCAAGCCUUUUAUUCGCAGCCUGCACCCGGGAGUCUCCUCUGACCUGGAAAUCAUUGGGAAGUCGUCUUGUUUUAUUGGCUCCUUUGUACCAAACCCUGGCGCAGGUGGCCGCAUUCUAGUGUGCCAGCUCAGAGUUGGUUAUGACCGCUCUUCCUCCUCGUUGUGAGCGCCUGCGCGUUCGGAGCGUCGUUGACACAGGAAGGAACCUCUUAACCCAACGCUCCACCGCAGCCUCCAGAAUUCUCUUCCAAGCUGUUGGCGUGCACUCUGCAAGCUAUUCCGCUGUACGCCUCAUAACCUUUAAAAAAAUGUAUUUAAUGGA